UGCCUAGAUUUUUACUGCAACUUCUUAUUGUUUACACACCUCCACAAGCUUUGGUGCUGGUUCCAAGAUCACCACGCUCCAAGAGAAGAUCCCAAUAUCUGGUAUUAGAGCCUUAUUACUUGAUUUGGAGGAAAGAUCGAGAUCUCGCCUGGAUCAUGGUAAGGUGCAACACAGAUUUUUAUUGAAAUAAAUUUUUGCUUGUGUGCUAGUUGUCUAUUUGUUUUUCUAUUUGGCAUGGCAUCUAGUAACCUAAAGGUGGAUUUUGAGAAAUAUGACA
Molecule: long non-coding RNA, 277 nt
Filed under: Elaeis guineensis (African oil palm)
Lineage: Eukaryota; Viridiplantae; Streptophyta; Magnoliopsida; Arecales; Arecaceae
Description: long non-coding RNA (EGUI_LNC009237)
Source: RNAcentral